Molecule: unclassified non-coding RNA, 252 nt
Filed under: fungal sp.
Lineage: Eukaryota; Fungi
Description: partial internal transcribed spacer region
Rfam family: Eukaryotic small subunit ribosomal RNA (bases 1-46)
Source: RNAcentral
AAGUCGUAACAAGGUCUCCGUUGGUGAACCAGCGGAGGGAUCAUUACAAGAAGCCGAAAGGCUACUUAAAACCAUAGCGAACUCAUCCAAGUUGCUUCGGCGGUGCGGGGUCCCUCACGGGGCGCCGCGGCCCUCGCCUCCCCGGAGGUACAAGGCACCCGCCGGAGGUACAAAACUCUUAUGUAUUAUAGUGGUAUCUCUGAGUAAAAAACAAAUAAGUUAAAACUUUCAACAACGGAUCUCUUGGUUCUG